UGGGGAAUUUGGACAAUGGGCGAAAGCCUGAUCCAGCAAUGCCGCGUGUGUGAAGAAGGCCUUCGGGUUGUAAAGCACUUUUGUCCGGGAAAGAAAAUCCUUGGCUCUAAUACAGUCGGGGGAUGACGGUACCGGAAGAAUAAGCACCGGCUAACUACGUGCCAGCAGCCGCGGUAAUACGUAGGGUGCAAGCGUUAAUCGGAAUUACUGGGCGUAAAGCGUGCGCAGGCGGUUUGCUAAGACCGAUGUGAAAUCCCCGGGCUCAACCUGGGAACUGGCAAUUGGUGACUGGCAGGCUAGAGUAUGGUAGAGGGGGGUGAGAAUUCCACGUGUAGCAGUGAAAAUGCGUAGAGAUGUGGAGGAAUACCGAUGGCG
RNAcentral lists this ribosomal RNA (375 nucleotides) under uncultured bacterium. RNAcentral describes it as "partial 16S ribosomal RNA". It matches the Rfam family "Bacterial small subunit ribosomal RNA", at positions 356 to 717 of the family's 1533-position model. The record is from RNAcentral.